Molecule: ribosomal RNA, 1046 nt
Filed under: uncultured Methanosaeta sp.
Lineage: Archaea; Methanobacteriati; Methanobacteriota; Methanomicrobia; Methanotrichales; Methanotrichaceae
Description: bacterial SSU rRNA
Rfam family: Archaeal small subunit ribosomal RNA
Source: RNAcentral
UCCGGUUGAUCCCGGCGGAGGUUACUGCUAUCGAGGAUCGACUAAGCCAUGCGAGUCGAAUGUAGCAAUACAUGGCGUACUGCUCAGUAACACGUGGACAACCUACCCUUAGGUCGGGGAUAAACCCGGGAAACUGGGUAUAAUACCCGAUAGUGCUCGACUGCUGGAAUGCAUCGAGUUCUAAAGCUCCGGCGCCUAAGGAUGGGUCUGCGGCCUAUCAGGUAGUAGUGGGUGUAGCGUACCUACUAGCCUACGACGGGUACGGGUUGUGAGAGCAAGAGCCCGGAGAUGGAUUCUGAGACACGAAUCCAGGCCCUACGGGGUGCAGCAGGCGCGAAAACUUUACAAUGCUGGCAACAGCGAUAAGGGGACCUCGAGUGCCAGGUUACAAAUCUGGCUGUCGUGAUGCCUAAAAAGCAUUGCAUAGCAAGGGCCGGGCAAGACCGGUGCCAGCCGCCGCGGUAACACCGGCGGCUCGAGUGGUAACCGUUAUUAUUGGGUCUAAAGGGUCUGUAGCCGGCCGGAUAAGUCUCUUGGGAAAUCUGGCAGCUUAACUGUCAGGCUUUCAGGAGAUACUGUCUGGCUCGAGGCCGGGAGAGGUGAGAGGUACUUCAGGGGUAGGGGUGAAAUCUUGUAAUCCUUGAAGGACCACCAGUGGCGAAGGCGUCUCACCAGAACGGACCUGACGGCAAGGGACGAAAGCUAGGGGCACGAACCGGAUUAGAUACCCGGGUAGUCCUAGCCGUAAACGAUACUCGCUAGGUGUCGGCCACGGUGCGACCGUUGUCGGUGCCGUAGGGAAGCCGUGAAGCGAGCCACCUGGGAAGUACGGCCGCAAGGCUGAAACUUAAAGGAAUUGGCGGGGGAGCACCACAACGGGUGGAGCUUGCGGUUUAAUUGGAUUCAACGCCGGAAAUCUUACCGGGACCGACAGCAAUAUGAAGGCCAGGCUGAAGACUUUGCCGGAUUAGCUGAGAGGUGGUGCAUGGCCGUCGUCAGUUCGUACUGUGAAGCAUCCUGUUAAGUCAGGCAACGAGCGAGACCCA